UACGAAGGGGGCUAGCGUUGUUCGGAAUCACUGGGCGUAAAGCGCACGUAGGCGGAUCUUUUAAGUCAGAGGUGAAAUCCCAAGGCUCAACCUUGGAACUGCCUUUGAUACUGGGGAUCUUGAGUCCGGGAGAGGUGAGUGGAACUGCGAGUGUAGAGGUGAAAUUCGUAGAUAUUCGGAAGAACACCAGUGGCGAAGGCGACUUACUGGACACAUAUUGACGCUGAGGUGCGAAAAGCGUGGGGGAGCCAAAC
RNAcentral lists this ribosomal RNA (254 nucleotides) under uncultured bacterium. RNAcentral's name for it is "partial 16S ribosomal RNA". It matches the Rfam family "Bacterial small subunit ribosomal RNA", at positions 524 to 774 of the family's 1533-position model. The record is from RNAcentral.